This 496-nucleotide ribosomal RNA is filed under the name uncultured bacterium. RNAcentral's name for it is "partial 16S ribosomal RNA". It matches the Rfam family "Bacterial small subunit ribosomal RNA", at positions 28 to 506 of the family's 1533-position model. The record is from RNAcentral.
GAUGAACGCUGGCGGCGUGCCUAAUACAUGCAAGUCGAGCGAACAGACGAGGAGCUUGCUCCUCUGACGUUAGCGGCGGACGGGUGAGUAACACGUGGAUAACCUACCUAUAAGACUGGGAUAACUUCGGGAAACCGGAGCUAAUACCGGAUAAUAUAUUGAACCGCAUGGUUCAAUAGUGAAAGACGGUUUUGCUGUCACUUAUAGAUGGAUCCGCGCCGCAUUAGCUAGUUGGUAAGGUAACGGCUUACCAAGGCAACGAUGCGUAGCCGACCUGAGAGGGUGAUCGGCCACACUGGAACUGAGACACAGUCCAGACUCCUACGGGAGGCAGCAGUAGGGAAUCUUCCGCAAGGGGCGAAAGCCUGACGGAGCAACGCCGCGUGAGUGAUGAAGGUCUUCGGAUCGUAAAACUCUGUUAUUAGGGAAGAACAAAUGUGUAAGUAACUAUGCACGUCUUGACGGUACCUAAUCAGAAAGCCACGGCUAACUACGU